Molecule: long non-coding RNA, 281 nt
Organism: Perognathus longimembris pacificus (Pacific pocket mouse)
Lineage: Eukaryota; Metazoa; Chordata; Mammalia; Rodentia; Heteromyidae
Exons: 3
Source: RefSeq, a predicted model, not a curated record
UCCAGUGCCAAGGAGUCCUAGAGUUUCUCCUAUUCCUUCUUGUAGAGUUUUUCAGGGUGUCUGAUUUUAUUUCCAGGUCUUUGGUGCAUUUGGAGUUGAUUUUGGUUCAGGGUGGUAUGUAGGGGUCUAGUUCUAGUUUGUUACAGGUGGUGACCCGGUUUUGCCAGCACCAUUUGUUGAAGAGGCUGUCUUUAUUCUAACCUGUAUUUUUAGCUUCUUUGUAAAAGAUUAGGUAGCCAUAGGUCUGGACAGGCUGUGGCCAAAAGGAAAUGCUACUCCAU